RNAcentral lists this long non-coding RNA (237 nucleotides) under Hordeum vulgare. RNAcentral describes it as "long non-coding RNA (HVUL_LNC008565)". The record is from RNAcentral. Lineage: Eukaryota; Viridiplantae; Streptophyta; Magnoliopsida; Poales; Poaceae.
CCAUCGAAUCCUCUAGACAGAAAGGUUCAAGGCCCAACAAAUGCACAACAAAAUAGUUUUACAAGUGCAGGUGUACAGCAAAAAGGCCCAACAAGUACAUAAUCACACAUCAACAUAGUUCGACAAAGAUUGGAUGAGAAGCACAAGUUUUUGUUGAUCACACAUAACAUCAAUGAUAAACGAAGCUUCUUGUUCCCUCCUCCUGUCCUGUCCUCUACUUCUUCUGGGUGCUUCAGA